GUGUGGCGUCUUUCUGAACUCCCCCGACCAUCCGAGCUUCCACAGUACCAUCCGGACUCCUCCAGCAGUUGACCUUCCACAGUGUCCUCCAGAUUCCUCCAACGGACGAACUCCUAUUGUACCCUCUGGACUCUCCAAUAAUGAGCUCCUUCAGUCAUCUAUCGGACUGCUCCAAAUGCUCUCUGGGCUUUACUAUCAGCCGAUUUUCUACAGUGAUCGACUACUCUCCGAAUCUCUUCCAGACUUCCUCCUGUCACGAUCGACUUUACUCUGAGCUUCUUCUAGACUUCGUCAAUGUCUGGGC
RNAcentral lists this long non-coding RNA (304 nucleotides) under Elaeis guineensis (African oil palm). Its description in RNAcentral is "long non-coding RNA (EGUI_LNC069818)". Lineage: Eukaryota; Viridiplantae; Streptophyta; Magnoliopsida; Arecales; Arecaceae. The record is from RNAcentral.